This 93-nucleotide non-coding RNA is filed under the name Spirochaeta sp. Its description in RNAcentral is "TPP sequence". It matches the Rfam family "TPP riboswitch aptamer (THI element)". Rfam says of the family: Vitamin B(1) in its active form thiamin pyrophosphate (TPP) is an essential coenzyme that is synthesised by coupling of pyrimidine and thiazole moieties in bacteria. RNAcentral also lists the same sequence under 1 other name. The record is from RNAcentral. Lineage: Bacteria; Pseudomonadati; Spirochaetota; Spirochaetia; Spirochaetales; Spirochaetaceae.
AAGGAGCUUCCGGGGUGGUCCGCUGGACCUGAGAAUACACUCGUGAACCUGAUCCGGAUUAUACUGGCGUAGGAACGAGGCUCUACCCCGGAA